RNAcentral lists this non-coding RNA (45 nucleotides) under Schistosoma margrebowiei. The record is from RNAcentral. Lineage: Eukaryota; Metazoa; Platyhelminthes; Trematoda; Strigeidida; Schistosomatidae.
AUUCAUUUGACGAGUCCCAAAUAGGACGAAACGUUAGUCUUGGAU